This 339-nucleotide unclassified non-coding RNA is filed under the name fungal sp. Its description in RNAcentral is "partial internal transcribed spacer region". The stretch from base 1 to 46 matches the Rfam family "Eukaryotic small subunit ribosomal RNA", at positions 1786 to 1831 of the family's 1831-position model. Lineage: Eukaryota; Fungi. The record is from RNAcentral.
AAGUCGUAACAAGGUUUCCGUAGGUGAACCUGCGGAAGGAUCAUUAUCACGUAUCCACGUAUAAACCAUCGUGAACCCUUUUUUGCCUUUAAGGAAGGUUGACAGUGGGAGAGGAAGCACAUGAACUCUUUCUUGUGAUUUAAAGUUCGCUACCGCUCUCCGAGUGCUUUCACGGCUCUCGUUAACCUUUCUUGAAGUGUAUUUUUUAAAUCGCUAUUCAAUUAACAAUUUGAACAAACCUUUAAACUACGAACUGAUCUAUUUCUUACUCACCUUCGGGGGAGAAGAAAUUCAUUACGAAACAAAGAACAACUCUUAGCAACGGAUAUCUUGGUUCUC